Molecule: ribosomal RNA, 253 nt
Filed under: uncultured bacterium
Lineage: Bacteria
Description: partial 16S ribosomal RNA
Rfam family: Bacterial small subunit ribosomal RNA
Source: RNAcentral
UACGUAGGGGGCAAGCGUUGUCCGGAAUCAUUGGGCGUAAAGAGCGUGUAGGCGGCCCGGUAAGUCCGCUGUGAAAGUCCAGGGCUCAACCCUGGGAUGCCGGUGGAUACUGUCGGGCUCGAGUCCGGAAGAGGAGUGUGGAAUUCCCGGUGUAGCAGUGAAAUGCGUAGAGAUCGGGAGGAACAUCAGUUGCGAAGGCGGCUCUCUGGACCAGCACUGACACUGAGGCACGAAAGCGUGGGGAGCAAACAGG